UGAGGAAUAUUGGGCAAUGCCCGCAAGGGUGACCCAGCAACGCCGCGUGGAGGAUGAAUGUCGUAAGAUUGUAAACUCCUGUUAGAGGGGAAGAAUAGUACCGGUUGGACCGGUAUAUGACUGUACCCUCAGAGAAAGCCCCGGCUAACUACGUGCCAGCAGCCGCGGUAAUACGUAGGGGGCAAGCGUUGUCCGGAUUUACUGGGUGUAAAGGGCGCGCAGGCGGGAUAAAAAGUCAGUGGUGAAAUCCUACAGCUUAACUGUAGAACUGCCUUUGAUACUUUUAAUCUUGGGUUCGGGAGAGAGAGACGGAAUUCCAGGUGUAGUGGUGAAAUACGUAGAUAUCUGGAAGAACACCAGUUGCGAAGGCGGUCUCUUGGUCCGACACUGACGCUGAGGCGCGAAAGCGUGGGGAGCAAACA
RNAcentral lists this ribosomal RNA (422 nucleotides) under uncultured bacterium. Its description in RNAcentral is "bacterial SSU rRNA". It matches the Rfam family "Bacterial small subunit ribosomal RNA", at positions 355 to 774 of the family's 1533-position model. The record is from RNAcentral.